CACGUAGGGGGCGAGCGUUGUCCGGAAUUAUUGGGCGUAAAGAGCUCGUAGGCGGUGUGUCGCGUCGGCCGUGAAAACCUGCAGCUUAACUGUGGGCUUGCGGUCGAUACGGGCAUCACUGGAGUUCGGCAGGGGAGACUGGAAUUCCUGGUGUAGCGGUGAAAUGCGCAGAUAUCAGGAGGAACACCGGUGGCGAAGGCGGGUCUCUGGGCAGUAACUGACGCUGAGGAGCGAAAGCGUGGGGAGCGAACAGG
Molecule: ribosomal RNA, 254 nt
Filed under: uncultured bacterium
Lineage: Bacteria
Description: partial 16S ribosomal RNA
Rfam family: Bacterial small subunit ribosomal RNA
Source: RNAcentral